AGCCCCCCCACUCCACUGCGGAGAAGAAGCAGCGGCCAGGAGAGCAGGCGGCAUCCUUAUUUGGAGCAGGGAGCUGGACCGCAGAUGCUGAUACUGUCGAGGCACAGAACAGAUACUGGCAGAUCUGAAAUUUGUUUGGGACUAACAUGCUUUGACUCUAGUUGCAGUGGAAAGGAAAGAAAAGAAAAAGAUGCUAAUGGAAAGUUAUUUUACUUAUCUUUGUAUUCUAAUCACCAUGACACAGUCAUCCAACUUUUAACCUGAACUCUCUUUCCAUCUCCAGGUAGAAAGAAUAUUAUCUUUUCAACAAAAAAAAUCUAAUACUUAUCUGUAUUCUGUAUAAUAUAACUUAUUCUCAUGCUACUCAUCUCUAUGCAUCACAAUUUUCCUUAAAAAAUGCAACUGUUCCCUAAAGCAAAGAUUUAAUGGUCAUAAGUAAGACUCCAUAAUAUUUGCAAAAUGUACUGCAAAACAUUAACUGGUAGACUAUGACUGAUAAUACAUUAUUGAAACUUAAUUACCUUUGAAAUAUUUUGCAUUAUUUUGAUCUAUUGACUUUUUCAUGCACUAACAAGAAUUGUAUAUCACCAAGGGUUAUGCUGAGGUGUUUUAUGUAAUUUCAGUAAGCAACAAUAAAUAAAUGAAUAAAU
Molecule: long non-coding RNA, 650 nt
Organism: Gavialis gangeticus (Gharial)
Lineage: Eukaryota; Metazoa; Chordata; Crocodylia; Gavialidae
Exons: 2
Source: RefSeq, a predicted model, not a curated record